AUGGCGUCGCCUCCACCGCCGGCUCCCGCCGCCGCGGCCGCCCACAGCGUGUUCGUCUACGGCACCCUGAUGGCGGAGGAGGUCGUGCGCGUCCUCCUCGGCCGCGUCCCGCCGUCCUCCCCCGCGCUCCUCCCCAACCACCAGAGGCUCAGCAUCAGGGGCCGCGUCUACCCGGCGAUCCUGCCCGUCGACGGCAGCAAAGUCCCCGGGAAGGUUUGGAAGGGGAUCACUGACAGGGAGCUCGAUGUGCUGGACAUCUUUGAGGAUGAGCAGUAUGUCAGGGAAACUGUUGGUAUCUCGCUGACCGAUUCAGCGGACACAAUGAUCGCCUAUACAUACAUAUGGGGGAAUGUGGAUGAUCCUGACCUCUAUGGUGAAUGGGAUUUUGAUGAAUGGAAGAAAGUGCAUCUGAAGGACUAUUUCACAAUGACACAAGAUUUCAAGGAGGAACUGGAACAGCUUGAAUCUGAGACACAUGAUUGA
This 483-nucleotide ribosomal RNA is filed under the name Triticum aestivum (bread wheat). RNAcentral's name for it is "partial small subunit ribosomal RNA". Lineage: Eukaryota; Viridiplantae; Streptophyta; Magnoliopsida; Poales; Poaceae. The record is from RNAcentral.